GGAGGGAUCAUUACCGAGUUUACAACUCCCAAACCCCAUGUGAACCUUACCUCUCCGUUGCCUCGGCGGGAUACGCCCCGGGCGCUCGGCCCCGCGCCGGCCCCGGACCCAGGCGCCCGCCGGAGGACCCAAACUCUUCUGUUUCUACCAGUGGAUUCUUCUGAGUGGCUAUAAGCAACAAAUAAAUCAAAACUUUCAACAAUGGAUCUCUUGGUUCUGGCAUCGAUGAAGAACGCAGCGAAAUGCGAUAAGUAAUGUGAAUUGCAGAAUUCAGUGAAUCAUCGAAUCUUUGAACGCACAUUGCGCCCGCCAGUAUUCUGGCGGGCAUGCCUGUUCGAGCGUCAUUUCAACCCUCAAGCCCCCCCGGGGGCUCGGUGUUGGGGACCGGCCCCGCCUAGCCGCGGGUCGCCGCCCCCGAAAUACAGUGGCGGUCCCGCCGCAGCCUCCUCUGCGUAGUAGCUCUUUUGAAACCUCGCACCGGAGCGCGGCGCGGCCACGCCGUUAAACCCCCCCAACUUUCUGAAAGGUUGACCUCGGAUCAGGUAGGAAUACCCGCUGAACUUAAGCAUAUCAAUAAGCGGAGGAAAAGAAACCAACAGGGAUUGCCCCAGUAACGGCGAGUGAAGCGGCAACAGCUCAAAUUUGAAAUCUGGCCCCCCCGGGCCCGAGUUGUAAUUUGUAGAGGAUGCUUUUGGUGCGGCGCCGCCCGAGUUCCCUGGAACGGGACGCCAUAGAGGGUGAGAGCCCCGUCUGGCUGGCCGCC
RNAcentral lists this ribosomal RNA (763 nucleotides) under Hypomyces sp. F438. Its description in RNAcentral is "eukaryotic LSU rRNA". The stretch from base 529 to 763 matches the Rfam family "Eukaryotic large subunit ribosomal RNA", at positions 1 to 237 of the family's 3401-position model. The record is from RNAcentral. Lineage: Eukaryota; Fungi; Ascomycota; Sordariomycetes; Hypocreales; Hypocreaceae.